RNAcentral lists this ribosomal RNA (253 nucleotides) under uncultured bacterium. RNAcentral's name for it is "partial 16S ribosomal RNA". It matches the Rfam family "Bacterial small subunit ribosomal RNA", at positions 524 to 776 of the family's 1533-position model. The record is from RNAcentral.
UACGUAGGGUGCAAGCGUUGUCCGGAAUUAUUGGGCGUAAAGAGCUCGUAGGCGGUUCGUCGCGUCGGCUGUGAAAACCCGGAGCUCAACUCCGGGCCUGCAGUCGAUACGGGCGGACUAGAGUUCGGCAGGGGAGACUGGAAUUCCUGGUGUAGCGGUGAAAUGCGCAGAUAUCAGGAGGAACACCGGUGGCGAAGGCGGGUCUCUGGGCAGUAACUGACGCUGAGGAGCGAAAGCGUGGGGAGCGAACAGG